GUUUUUGACGAGAACUACUCUAUGCGGUGGAUCACUCGGCUCGUGUGUCGAUGAAGAGCGCAGCCAGCUGCGUGAAUUAAUGUGAAUUGCAGGACACGUUGAACAUCGACAUCUCGAACGCACAUUG
RNAcentral lists this ribosomal RNA (127 nucleotides) under Acanthopleura planispina. Its description in RNAcentral is "partial 5.8S rRNA". The stretch from base 16 to 127 matches the Rfam family "5.8S ribosomal RNA", at positions 1 to 113 of the family's 154-position model. Rfam says of the family: 5.8S ribosomal RNA (5.8S rRNA) is a component of the large subunit of the eukaryotic ribosome. The record is from RNAcentral. Lineage: Eukaryota; Metazoa; Mollusca; Polyplacophora; Chitonida; Chitonidae.